AGUGAACGCUGGCGGUAGGCCUAACACAUGCAAGUCGAACGGCAGCACAGUAAGAGCUUGCUCUUACGGGUGGCGAGUGGCGGACGGGUGAGGAAUACAUCGGAAUCUACUUUUUCGUGGGGGAUAACGUAGGGAAACUUACGCUAAUACCGCAUACGACCUACGGGUGAAAGCAGGGGAUCUUCGGACCUUGCGCGAUUGAAUGAGCCGAUGUCGGAUUAGCUAGUUGGCGGGGUAAAUGCCCACCAAGGCGACGAUCCGUAGCUGGUCUGAGAGGAUGAUCAGCCACACUGGAACUGAGACACGGUCCAGACUCCUACGGGAGGCAGCAGUGGGGAAUAUUGGACAGUGGGCGCAAGCCUGAUCCAGCCAUACCGCGUGGGUGAAGAAGGCCUUCGGGUUGUAAAGCCCUUUUGUUGGGAAAGAAAAGCAGCAGGUUAAUACCCCGCUGUUCUGACGGUACCCAAAGAAUAAGCACCGGCUAACUUCGUG
This 492-nucleotide ribosomal RNA is filed under the name uncultured bacterium. RNAcentral describes it as "partial 16S ribosomal RNA". It matches the Rfam family "Bacterial small subunit ribosomal RNA", at positions 29 to 507 of the family's 1533-position model. The record is from RNAcentral.